RNAcentral lists this small nuclear RNA (125 nucleotides) under Myotis davidii. Its description in RNAcentral is "U2 spliceosomal RNA". It matches the Rfam family "U2 spliceosomal RNA". Rfam says of the family: U2 is a small nuclear RNA (snRNA) component of the spliceosome (involved in pre-mRNA splicing). Complementary binding between U2 snRNA (in an area lying towards the 5' end but 3' to hairpin I) and the branchpoint sequence (BPS) of the intron results the bulging out of an unpaired adenosine, on the BPS, which initiates a nucleophilic attack at the intronic 5' splice site, thus starting the first of two transesterification reactions that mediate splicing. Lineage: Eukaryota; Metazoa; Chordata; Mammalia; Chiroptera; Vespertilionidae. The record is from Rfam by way of RNAcentral.
AUCGCUUCUCAGCCUUUUGGCUAUACUAAGAUCAAGUAUGGUAUCUGUUCUUAUCAUUUUAAUAUCUGAUACAAAUACCAAGAAGGAAAAAAAAAAAGAAAUAUACGGGCAGAGACAAAGCUCUU